GAUCCUGGCUCAGAUUGAACGCUGGCGGCAGGCCUAACACAUGCAAGUCGAACGGUAACAGGAAACAGCUUGCUGUUUCGCUGACGAGUGGCGGACGGGUGAGUAAUGUCUGGGAAACUGCCUGAUGGAGGGGGAUAACUACUGGAAACGGUAGCUAAUACCGCAUAACGUCGCAAGACCAAAGAGGGGGACCUUCGGGCCGUCCUUGUCCGAACUCGGAGUAGUGUCCCACGAUGGGAGUUAGUCUAGUAGGUGGGGUAACGGG
Molecule: ribosomal RNA, 265 nt
Filed under: uncultured bacterium
Lineage: Bacteria
Description: partial 16S ribosomal RNA
Rfam family: Bacterial small subunit ribosomal RNA
Source: RNAcentral